CCCUUAGAUGUCCGGGGCCGCACGCGCGCUACACUGAAGGAAUCAGCGUGGCUUUCUCCCUGACCCGAAAGGGUUGGGAAACCCGUUGAAUCUCCUUCGUGAUAGGGAUAGGGGCUUGAAAUUGUUCCCCAUGAACGAGGAAUUCCCAGUAAGCGCGAGUCAUAAGCUCGCGUUGAUUACGUCCCUGCCCUUUGUACACACCGCCCGUCGCUACUACCGAUUGAACGGUUUAGUGAGGGCCUCGGAUUGGUCUCGGCCCGCUCUUUACCGGGCGGCGCCGUUGGUCGAGAAGACGCUCGAACUUGAUCGUUUAGAGGAAGUAAAAGUCGUAACA
RNAcentral lists this ribosomal RNA (334 nucleotides) under uncultured eukaryote. Its description in RNAcentral is "partial 18S ribosomal RNA". It matches the Rfam family "Eukaryotic small subunit ribosomal RNA", at positions 1470 to 1796 of the family's 1831-position model. The record is from RNAcentral.